CUAUGAUCGGACAGGAUAACCGCUGAAGGCAUCUAAGCGGGAAGCCCACCUCAAAACAAGGUAUCCCUGAGAGCCGUGGAAGACCACCACGUCGAUAGGCCGGAGAUGUAAGCGCAGUAAUGCGUUCAGUUGACCGGUACUAAUGGCUCGAUAGGCUUGAUUUGAUCCAG
This 170-nucleotide ribosomal RNA is filed under the name Paracoccaceae bacterium. RNAcentral describes it as "Rhodobacteraceae bacterium (marine metagenome) partial 23S ribosomal RNA". It matches the Rfam family "Bacterial large subunit ribosomal RNA", at positions 2749 to 2925 of the family's 2925-position model. Lineage: Bacteria; Pseudomonadati; Pseudomonadota; Alphaproteobacteria; Rhodobacterales; Paracoccaceae. The record is from RNAcentral.